GUGGGGAAUAUUGGGCAAUGGGCGAAAGCCUGACCCAGCAACGCCGCGUGAAGGAAGAAGGUCUUCGGAUCGUAAACUUCUAUCCUUGGUGAAGAUAAUGACGGUAGCCAAGAAGGAAGCCCCGGCUAACUACGUGCCAGCAGCCGCGGUAAUACGUAGGGGGCAAGCGUUGUCCGGAAUGAUUGGGCGUAAAGGGCGCGUAGGCGGCCCGGUAAGUCUGAAGUGAAAGUCCUGCUUUUAAGGUGGGAAUUGCUUUGGAUACUGUCGGGCUUGAGUGCAGGAGAGGUAAGCGGAAUUCCCGGUGUAGCGGUGAAAUGCGUAGAGAUCGGGAGGAACACCAGUGGCGAAGGCGGCUUACUGGACUGUAACUGACGCUGAGGCGCGAAAGUGUGGGGAGCAAACAGGAUUAGAUACCCCUGUAGUCC
RNAcentral lists this ribosomal RNA (425 nucleotides) under uncultured bacterium. RNAcentral's name for it is "partial 16S ribosomal RNA". It matches the Rfam family "Bacterial small subunit ribosomal RNA", at positions 354 to 796 of the family's 1533-position model. The record is from RNAcentral.